RNAcentral lists this transfer RNA (76 nucleotides) under Rivibacter subsaxonicus. RNAcentral's name for it is "Methylibium subsaxonicum tRNA". It matches the Rfam family "tRNA". Rfam says of the family: Transfer RNA (tRNA) molecules are approximately 80 nucleotides in length. Lineage: Bacteria; Pseudomonadati; Pseudomonadota; Betaproteobacteria; Burkholderiales. The record is from Rfam by way of RNAcentral.
GGGCCGGAAGCUUAAGCCUGGUACAAGCACCCGACUCAUAAUCGGGCGACAGUGGGUUCGAAUCCCACCCGGCCUA